RNAcentral lists this ribosomal RNA (497 nucleotides) under uncultured bacterium. Its description in RNAcentral is "partial 16S ribosomal RNA". It matches the Rfam family "Bacterial small subunit ribosomal RNA", at positions 28 to 507 of the family's 1533-position model. The record is from RNAcentral.
GAUGAACGCUGGCGGCGUGCCUAAUACAUGCAAGUCGAGCGAACGGACGAGAAGCUUGCUUCUCUGAUGUUAGCGGCGGACGGGUGAGUAACACGUGGAUAACCUACCUAUAAGACUGGGAUAACUUCGGGAGACCGUAGCUAAUACCGGAUAAUAUUUUGAACCGCAGGGUUCAAAAGUGAAAGACGGUCUUGCGGUCACUUAUAGAUGGAUCCGCGCUGCCUUAGCGAGUUGGUAAGGUACCGGCUUACCAAGGCAACGAUGCAUAGCCGACCUGAGAGGGUGGUCGGCCACAUCGGACCUGAGGCACGGUCCAGACUCCUCCGGGAGGCAGCGGUAGGGGAUCUUCCGCAAUGGGCGCAAGCCUAACGGAGCAACGGCGCGUGAGUGAUGAGGGUCUUCGGAUCGUAAUACUCUGUUAUCAGGGAAGAACAUAUGUGUAAGUCACUGCGCACAUAUUGACGGUACCUACUCAGAAAGCCCCGGCUAACUUCGUG